Molecule: RNA transcript, 1228 nt
Organism: Ochotona princeps (American pika)
Lineage: Eukaryota; Metazoa; Chordata; Mammalia; Lagomorpha; Ochotonidae
Gene name: large ribosomal subunit protein uL3-like
Exons: 1
Source: RefSeq, a predicted model, not a curated record
AUGUCACACAGGAAGUUCUUGGCCCCCCGCCAUGUCUCCCUGGGCUUCCUGUCGGAAGCACAGCAGUGGCCGGCACUGCGGCAAGGUGAAGAGCUUCCCCACGGAUGACGCCUCCAAGUCCAUGCACCUGACAGCCUUCCUGGGCUACAAGGCAGGCAUGACACACAUCAUAUGCGAGUUGGACCAGCCGGGCUCCAAGGUGAACAAGAAGGAAGUGGUGGAGGCCGUGACCAUCGUGGAGACGCCGGCUAAUGGUGGUGGUGGGCAUCGUGGGCUGCGUGGAAAUGCCACGUGGCCUCUGCACCUUCAAGACCAUCUUCGCCGAGCACAUCGGUGAUGAAUGCAAGAGGCGCUUCUGUAAGAACUGGCAUAAGACCAAGUACUGCAAGAAGUGGCAGGACGACAUGGGCAAGAAGCAGCUGGAGAAGGACUUCAGCAGCAUGAAGAAGUACUGCCAGGUCAUCCGUGUCAUCGCCCACACGCAGAUGCGCCUGCUGCGACAGAGGAAGGCUCACCUCAUGGAGAUCCAGGUGAAUGGCAGCACCGUGGCUGAGAAGCUGGACUGGGCCCACGAGCGCCUGGCGCAGCAGGUGCCCAUGAACCAGGUGUUUGGGCAGGAUGAGAUGAUUGAUGUCAUCGGUGUGACCAAAGGCAAAGGCUACAAAGGGGUGACCAGCCGCUGGCACACCAAGAACCUGCCCCGUAAGACACACCUACCGCCUGUGCAAGGUGGCCUGCAUUGGGGCCUGGCAUCCUGCACGCGUGGCCUUCUCUGUGGCGUGAGCUGGGCAGAAAGGCUACUAUCACCGCACAAUCAACAAGAUCUGCAAGAUCGGUCAGGGCUACCUGAUCAAGGACGGCAAGCUGAUCAAGAACAACGCUUUCACCAGCUAUGACCUGUCGGACAAGAGCAUCAACCCCCUGGGUGGUUUUGUCUACUAUGGUGAAGUGACCAAUGACUUCGUCAUGUUGAAGGGCUGUGUAGUGGGGACCAAGAAGCGUGUGCUUACCCUGCACAAGUCCCUGCUGGUGCAGACCAAACGGCGGGCGCUGGAGAAGAUUGACCUCAAGUUCAUGGAUACCACAUCCAAGUUUGGCCAUGCCCGCUUCCAGACCCUGGAGAAGAAGGCACUCAUGGGACCACUCAAGAAAGACAGGAUUGCCAAGGAAGAGGGAGCGUAUUGUCGGGAGCAUGAGCAGCCUGUUGCAUCAAAUUAAAAAUGACUUU